This 237-nucleotide ribosomal RNA is filed under the name Orientia tsutsugamushi. RNAcentral's name for it is "partial 16S ribosomal RNA". It matches the Rfam family "Bacterial small subunit ribosomal RNA", at positions 986 to 1218 of the family's 1533-position model. The record is from RNAcentral. Lineage: Bacteria; Pseudomonadati; Pseudomonadota; Alphaproteobacteria; Rickettsiales; Rickettsiaceae.
AUGGUAGUCGCGAAAAAUGGAGACAUUUUUCUUCAGUUUGGCUGGACUACACACAGGUGUUGCAUGGCUGUCGUCAGCUCGUGUCGUGAGAUGUUGGGUUAAGUCCCGCAACGAGCGCAACCCUUAUUCUUAUUUGCCAGCGGGUAAUGCCGGGAACUAUAGGAAAACUGCCGGUGCUAAGCCGGAGGAAGGUGGGGAUGAGGUCAAGUCAUCAUGGCCCUUAUGAGUUGGGCUACA